This 253-nucleotide ribosomal RNA is filed under the name uncultured bacterium. Its description in RNAcentral is "partial 16S ribosomal RNA". It matches the Rfam family "Bacterial small subunit ribosomal RNA", at positions 524 to 776 of the family's 1533-position model. The record is from RNAcentral.
UACGAGGGGUGCAAGCGUUGCUCGGAAUUAUUGGGCGUAAAGAGCUCGUAGGCGGCCUGUUGCGUCCGCUGUGAAAUCCCAGGGCUCAACCCUGGGCGUGCAGUGGAUACGGGCAGGCUGGAGGCAGGCAGGGGAGAACGGAAUUCCCGGUGUAGCGGUGAAAUGCGUAGAGAUCGGAAAGAACACCAACGGCGAAAGCACUCUGCUGGGCCGACACUGACACUGAGAGACGAAAGCUAGGGGAGCGAAUGGG